This is a long non-coding RNA of Bufo gargarizans (Asiatic toad), 1581 nucleotides long. RefSeq lists it as uncharacterized. The transcript is spliced from 3 exons. NCBI's taxonomy places the organism in Eukaryota, Metazoa, Chordata, Amphibia, Anura, Bufonidae. The record is from RefSeq and is a predicted model, not a curated record.
CUGCAUAUUGUCUACGAGGGCCUCAGUGGCACCUCCACUGCUAGAGACCGUAAGUGCUGUUACAUUUGUACAGAUCGAUAGACAUAGUAGUAACUCGCAUAGCUCUUAAGGUCUUUUCAGUUUAAAUGGUUGGAACACAGCGAGAAGCCACUUCAUUCCAACACAGUAGUUUUAGGUGCAAACUGGCCACGAUUAGGUUUACUAUUUUUCACCCUCUGCAAAUGUGGUCAUGUGGCAGACAAAUCACAGGGUACAAAAUAAAGAAAUCCCUCAAGCCACUCUACCACCUAGCACCACAGGCAAAGAUCAACAGGUCAGAGUACAUAACAUGAUAUGGCCUUGGCAGAGCUGGCUUCUUCUCCAGACUUGGAGCCAUUAGGGAAGAUCUAAGCCCUCUUGUAUAGGAGAUGUCCAGCUGGCUGCUAAAUCCACUCCUUAGCCAGUGUAACACCUUGAGUGGAGCAGGUGGAGUUGGGAGCUCACUCUUCUCUUCCCCAACUCGAAAGAUUUCUCUCUGUGUUAAAAUACUCCCUGGAGUCUCACUAUAAAUGUGUCACUGGCACUAUAGACAUAUAAUAUAUGCCAAUUACACUUAAAACAUCACACACACAUACCUUACAGAGCAUACUACAUACCACACACAUAAACAUCGACCUUUAUGAAGGAUUCCUCGGUCUCCAUCGUGUGGGUACAAGGCAGGACUGAGCCCCCGUUCUUGUCCAGCUCUCACCUCAGCACUCUGCCCGUCUGUCCCAGCCUCAGAUGAAUCUUGUAAACUCCAUUAGGCUUCUGUGUUCUGGGACCACAGGGCUGACCUCAGCAUUAGACCUCACCAGUACUACUGCCGAUUGUACUAGUGACAUCUAAUAAUACUGCCUGGCAGUGCAUAGGUCUGCAGACAGUGGAUAUGGUUUGAGGAGGAGUGCAUUUAAGCAUAUUUGGCACAACAGAGGUGAGUUCUAAUGAGCGAUAACUUGGUAAAAACAUCUGCAGCUUUGUCAGUCUUGGUGCAGUCGAUACUUGACUAUGUGACCAAAUGAGGUCCAAAAAUAAGUGACUCCCAGGAAAACUCCAGGGGGAGACUUUUAUGUCUCUUUAAGAGUCACCCAGAUACCUCUCCCAUCAUCUGAUCACCACAUUCGCACAAUCUGUUCUAUCAAUGUUUUCCUACAGAUCGAAUUAUAGAAGCAAGUUCACCAGAGAGAUGUCCCCGUCCUCUGUAUUCCCAGGACUGUCCAGAGGAGAAUGUCCUAGAGAACCAUCAGGUUGAAAAUCUGUUUGAUUUUAAGGUUGAGGUUAUAGAUGAAGCAGAAGAGGAUACGGAUAUAUGGGGCGAUCAGCAGUAUGAACUCAUGGAAAGAAAUCCUUCUGAGAGUCCUCAUCCUCUGAAUUCACAGGAGGAUCCAGAACAAAAUUAUUUAGGUUUUACUACUGAACCCCAACUUGAGAAUGAUCAGAGAAUUUACACAAGAGUAAAGCCAUAUUCAUGUUCAUUAUGUGGGAAAUGCUUUACAAACAAAUCAAGUAUUGUUAGACAUGAGAGAAUUCACACAGGAGACAAGCCAAUGGCAUGUUUAAAAU